GAAAAGAACUUUGAAGAGAGAGUUCAAGAGUACGUGAAACCGCUUAGGGGUAAACGGAAAAGACCUAAAUAUCCGAAAGGGGAGAUUCACGUCUUACCAUUUGCUCAGCUUUUAAAUGUUUAGAGAUGGUCUUUCGCCCUAUCCGGUUAUUUACUGUGAUAGUGGGUUUGGUCGCUCGCAUUUAAUUUGCUAGAGUAAUGGUGGACCGCACUUCUCCCUUAGUAGGACGUUGCGACCUGUUAAAUAAUACUUUAAGUAUGAUUAAAACGUCUGUUUUUAAAAUAUAUUGAAAAAUAUGCUUUAAUUAUAGUUUUAAUCAAAUAUAUAUAGAGUGUUUUUUAUUUUAACAGUAACAAAUGAUGGUGUUGAGCCACUUGAAAUUAUUAAUUUUUUUUUUUUUUAAUUAAUUAAAGGAAAGAGUCUUUUUUGUCAUUUUUACAAGUGGGCUGAUUUUUAGUAUUGGUCGGACUUUAUGGUCCGUCUUACUAUAUCUCCUACUGUUAGUAAAUUUUGACUUAGACAGUGCUUACAACACC
This 536-nucleotide ribosomal RNA is filed under the name Erbessus sp. 00001498. Its description in RNAcentral is "partial 28S ribosomal RNA". The stretch from base 1 to 297 matches the Rfam family "Eukaryotic large subunit ribosomal RNA", at positions 366 to 664 of the family's 3401-position model. The record is from RNAcentral. Lineage: Eukaryota; Metazoa; Arthropoda; Insecta; Hemiptera; Reduviidae.